Amphimedon queenslandica is the source of this 198-nucleotide long non-coding RNA. RefSeq lists it as uncharacterized. The record is from RefSeq and is a predicted model, not a curated record. The transcript has 2 exons. Lineage: Eukaryota; Metazoa; Porifera; Demospongiae; Haplosclerida; Niphatidae.
UCUCCCUCCCUCAGUUCCUCCUUCCCACCUCCAUGUGUCUCCCUUUCUCUCUGUCCCUCUCUAUCUCACACUGGAGCCCUAUCAAUAAACCUAGGCCUCCUGUAACGAAUGCAACAUUUCAAACUCCUCUCAUCAAAUUAUAUUUCUGUUAAAUAUAGAUCUAAUUUUGUUUUUAACAAAUAUUGUUUAUUUUACUUA